AUUGAACGCUGGCGGCAUGCCUUACACAUGCAAGUCGAACGGCAGCACGGGAGCAAUCCUGGUGGCGAGUGGCGAACGGGUGAGUAAAGUAUCGGAACGUGCCCAGUCGUGGGGGAUAACGUAGCGAAAGUUACGCUAAUACCGCAUACGAUCUAUGAAUGAAAGCGGGGGAUCGCAAGACCUCGCGCGAUUGGAGCGGCCGAUAUCAGAGUAGGUAGUUGGUGGGGUAAAGGCUCACCAAGCCGACGAUCUGUAGCUGGUCUGAGAGGACGACCAGCCACACUGGGACUGAGAAACGGCCCAGACUCCUACGGGAGGCAGCAGUGGGGAAUUUUGGACAAUGGGCGAAAGCCUGAUCCAGCCAUGCCGCGUGCAGGAUGAAGGCCUUCGGGUUGUAAACUGCUUUUGUACGGAACGAAAAGGUUUGGCCUAAUAAGCUGAGCUCAUGACGGUACCGUAAGAAUAAGCACCGGCUAACUACGUGCCAGCCGCCGCGGUAA
This 500-nucleotide ribosomal RNA is filed under the name uncultured bacterium. RNAcentral's name for it is "partial 16S ribosomal RNA". It matches the Rfam family "Bacterial small subunit ribosomal RNA", at positions 30 to 523 of the family's 1533-position model. The record is from RNAcentral.